CCCUCUUGGUGUGACAGGAUCCUAUGGAAGUCUUACCCUGAGACUCACAUUGUCUGUAACUCCUAUGGCUGUACAGAUGACGUGGUGACCAGUGACCACUCCCCAGUGUUUGGUACAUUUGAGGUGGGGGUCACCUCACAGUUCGUCUCCAAGAAAGGUCUGCCUAAGUCCUCUGAACAGGCCUAUAUAGAGUUUGAGAAUAUUGAGGCCAUAGUGAAGACGGCCAGCAGAACCAAGUUCUUUAUCGAGUUCUACUCUACCUGCCUGGAGGG
This is a long non-coding RNA of Oncorhynchus gorbuscha (pink salmon), 272 nucleotides long. RefSeq lists it as uncharacterized. The transcript is spliced from 3 exons. The record is from RefSeq and is a predicted model, not a curated record. Lineage: Eukaryota; Metazoa; Chordata; Actinopteri; Salmoniformes; Salmonidae.